RNAcentral lists this ribosomal RNA (976 nucleotides) under Ceriporia griseoviolascens. Its description in RNAcentral is "eukaryotic LSU rRNA". It matches the Rfam family "Eukaryotic large subunit ribosomal RNA", at positions 1 to 961 of the family's 3401-position model. The record is from RNAcentral. Lineage: Eukaryota; Fungi; Basidiomycota; Agaricomycetes; Polyporales; Irpicaceae.
UUGAUCUCAAAUCAGGUAGGACUACCCGCUGAACUUAAGCAUAUCAAUAAGCGGAGGAAAAGAAACUAACAAGGAUUCCCCUAGUAAGUGCGAGUGAAGCGGGAAAAGCUCAAAUUUAAAAUCUGGCAGUCUUUGGCUGUCCGAGUUGUAGUCUAGAGAAGCGUCUUCCGCGCUGGACCGUGUACAAGUCUCUUGGAACAGAGCGUCGUAGAGGGUGAGAAUCCCGUCUCUGACACGGACUACCAGUGCUUUGUGAUGCGCUCUCAAAGAGUCGAGUUGUUUGGGAAUGCAGCUCAAAACGGGUGGUAAAUUCCAUCUAAAGCUAAAUAUUGGCGAGAGACCGAUAGCGAACAAGUACCGUGAGGGAAAGAUGAAAAGCACUUUGGAAAGAGAGUUAAACAGUACGUGAAAUUGCUGAAAGGGAAACGCUUGAAGUCAGUCGYGUCGUUCAGAAAUCAGCCUUGCUUUUUGCUUGGUGCAUUUUCUGACUGACGGGCCAGCAUCAGUUUUGACUGCGGGAGAAAGGUCAGAGGAAUGUGGCACCUCCGGGUGUGUUAUAGCCUUUGAUCGCAUGCCGUGGUUGGGACUGAGGAACUCAGCACGCCUUUGUGGCCGGGGUUCGCCCACGUUCGUGCUUAGGAUGCUGGCGUAAUGGCUUUAAACGACCCGUCUUGAAACACGGACCAAGGAGUCUAACAUGCCUGCGAGUGUUUGGGUGGCAAACCCGAGCGCGCAAUGAAAGUGAUAGUUGGGAUCCUUGUCAUGGGGAGCACCGACGCCCGGGCCAGACCUUCUGUGACGGCUCCGCGGUAGAGCAAGCAUGUUGGGACCCGAAAGAUGGUGAACUAUGCCUGAAUAGGGUGAAGCCAGAGGAAACUCUGGUGGAGGCUCGYAGCGAUUCUGACGUGCAAAUCGAUCGUCAAAUUUGGGUAUAGGGGCGAAAGACUAAUCGAACCAUCUAGUAGCUGGUUCCUGC